This is a non-coding RNA of Acanthosepion pharaonis, 108 nucleotides long. Lineage: Eukaryota; Metazoa; Mollusca; Cephalopoda; Sepiida; Sepiidae. The record is from the annotation of a GenBank genome assembly.
AGUAUACCACAUUAAAAUACCGGUUCCCAUACGAUCACAGAAGUUAAGCAACAUUGAGCCUUGUCAGUACCUAGAUGGGUUACCGUUUGGAAAUACCAGAUGCCGUAA